Magnolia sinica is the source of this 468-nucleotide long non-coding RNA. RefSeq lists it as uncharacterized. The record is from RefSeq and is a predicted model, not a curated record. The transcript has 2 exons. NCBI's taxonomy places the organism in Eukaryota, Viridiplantae, Streptophyta, Magnoliopsida, Magnoliales, Magnoliaceae.
UCUCCUCUCUCGAUCUCCCUCUCCCGAUCUCAACCCGCUCUCUCGAUCUCCCUCUCACUUUCCCUCCCUCUCCCUCGAUCUCCCUUUCCCUCUUCCGAUAUCAACCCUCUCUCUCUGGAUCUCCCUCUCACUCUCCCUCCCUCUCUCGAUCUCCCUCUCCCUGGUUCAAACAGGUACAUCAGCGUGCAGACAGGAUAUUUACAGCUUUAUUUAUGAGUACAUCUGAACAACCUCAUUUUGGUGCGCAAGUCAUCUAAGUCCAAAACAGAUAAGGUUAGGUGGCUUUCCAUUAAUAUAUGAUAUUCCUCAUUAGUUUUCGGAAAGGUAGUGCCUACAGUUUCACCCAGCAAAAGGUAAACAGCAACACAUGUAAUAGACUGUAACUUCCUAUUCACAUUGUUCUCUUUGCUAUAGCUAAAAAAAUUUAUGUUUAUUUUUUCAUUGAUUAACUGCAAUCUUUUAUAGCUU